GGCGGGGUAGUUUAGCGGCCUAGAACACUUAAAACAUCCUUGUUCACCCCUUGCCUGAUUAGGCCGAAGAAUGAGGGUUAUCGCCUUCAACGCGAGAAACGCGGGUUCGAAUCCCGUCCCCGCCC
RNAcentral lists this transfer RNA (125 nucleotides) under Gloeothece verrucosa PCC 7822. RNAcentral's name for it is "tRNA-Und (NNN) (tRNA-Und-NNN-1-1)". It matches the Rfam family "tRNA". Rfam says of the family: Transfer RNA (tRNA) molecules are approximately 80 nucleotides in length. Their secondary structure includes four short double-helical elements and three loops (D, anti-codon, and T loops). Lineage: Bacteria; Bacillati; Cyanobacteriota; Cyanophyceae; Chroococcales; Aphanothecaceae. The record is from RNAcentral.